RNAcentral lists this ribosomal RNA (272 nucleotides) under Proteus mirabilis. RNAcentral's name for it is "partial 16S ribosomal RNA". It matches the Rfam family "Bacterial small subunit ribosomal RNA", at positions 1 to 269 of the family's 1533-position model. The record is from RNAcentral. Lineage: Bacteria; Pseudomonadati; Pseudomonadota; Gammaproteobacteria; Enterobacterales; Morganellaceae.
UAAUUGAAGAGUUUGAUCAUGGCUCAGAUUGAACGCUGGCGGCAGGCCUAACACAUGCAAGUCGAGCGUUAACAGGAGAAAGCUUGCUUUCUUUCUGACGAGCGGCGGACGGGUGAGUAAUGUAUGGGGAUCUGCCCGAUAGAGGGGGAUAACUACUGGAAACUGUGGCUAAUACCGCAUAAUGUCUACGGACCAAAGCAGGGGCUCUUCGGACCUUGCACUAUCGGAUGAACCCCUAUGGGAUUAGCUAGUAGGUGGGGUAAAGGCUCACC